GCGACGGGUGAGUACACGUGGGCAAUCUGCCCUUCACUCUGGGACAAGCCCUGGAAACGGGGUCUAAUACCGGAUAACACCGGCUUCCGCAUGGGAGCUGGUUGAAAGCUCCGGCGGUGAAGGAUGAGCCCGCGGCCUAUCAGCUUGUUGGUGGGGUAAUGGCCUACCAAGGCGACGACGGGUAGCCGGCCUGAGAGGGCGACCGGCCACACUGGGACUGAGACACGGCCCAGACUCCUACGGGAGGCAGCAGUGGGGAAUAUUGCACAAUGGGCGAAAGCCUGAUGCAGCGACGCCGCGUGAGGGAUGACGGCCUUCGGGUUGUAAACCUCUUUCAGCAGGGAAGAAGCGAAAGUGACGGUACCUGCAGAAGAAGCGCCGGCUAACUACGUGCCAGCAGCGGGGAUUAAUACG
RNAcentral lists this ribosomal RNA (414 nucleotides) under Streptomyces sp. MBT31. Its description in RNAcentral is "bacterial SSU rRNA". It matches the Rfam family "Bacterial small subunit ribosomal RNA", at positions 99 to 527 of the family's 1533-position model. The record is from RNAcentral. Lineage: Bacteria; Bacillati; Actinomycetota; Actinomycetes; Kitasatosporales; Streptomycetaceae.